CGGUCCGGGAAGAUCCCACAUGCCGCGGAGCGGCUGGGCCCGUGAGCCAUGGCUGCUGAGCCUGCGUGUCCGGAGCCUGUGCUCCACAACGGGAGAGGCCACAACAGUGAGAGGCCCGCGUAAUGCAAAAAAAAAAAAAAAUUUAAAAAAUAGAGUUGUGAGACAUUACAAAAUAAAAUGGUACUGAAACAGGAGGGAAGGGGGCAGGGCACAACCUUUAAAAGAAUGACAUUGCCCAAGGACAUGACAUAAACUGAUUAGAACCAAAUAGGUCCAAGAUGGCAGACAAGUCGACUUAAGCCUCAGGAUACAUUCAUUGUAACACACCAGCAUGAUAAAUGACACACCCACCGGCACCAUGACAGUUCCAGGGCCGACCAUAAACGUCAAAAAGUGGGCAGUGGCCCAAUUCCUGAAAAUCCCCACCCCUUCCCCAAAAUAGCUGGAAUACUCCUCUUACUCAUUAGCCUAUGAAAUUACCCACCUCUAUAAAAAGUGACAUCCCCAUACCCUGGAGCCGCUCUCUCCUUCUGAGAUGGCCCACUCUGUGUCCGUGGAGUGUGUUUCUCUCUAAAUAAAUCCACUUCUUACCUAUCACUUUGUCCCUCACUGAAUUCUUUCUGUGAUGAGACAUCAAGAACCUGAGCUUCAUUAAGUCCUGAGACCAUGUGUGUGAUCUCAGUUAAAAGACCAUGGGUUCAUGUUCCAAUCUGGGUUUUGGCCAGGCUCAAGUCCUGGCCUGUGGGUUCAAGCCUCAGUCUGAGAUGCAUGGUUUCAGUACAAUAAAAUAACUGCUUCAAGAAUUUAGGUUUUUUUAAGUAGCUAGAGCUCAUCUCAGUGCUCAGGGGAUGUCAACAUGAAAAAUCCAGAGAUCUCAAGAAGAACUUAAAAUAUUUUCCAUUGUUUUUUGUUUGUUUGCUUUAGGUAUUGAGAUGACUUAACAUUCAUCAGGAAAAAACCGAAGUAGUAGAGAAUGUUAAUCUCAACUCCAAAGUACGGUAUUCCCCCAUUAUCCACCGUUUUGCUUUCUGAGGUUUGUCCCCAGAGGUCUACAGUGAUCUGAAAAUAUGAACUGGAAAAUCCCAGAAAUAAACAAUUCAUAGGUUUUAAAUUGUCGGCUAUUCUGAGUAGUGGGAUGAAAUCUCGUGCCCACCUGCUCCAUCCCAUCCAGGACAUGAAUCAUCCCUUUGUCCAGUCUAUCCCUGCCUGUUAGUAGCCAUCUUGGUUAUCAGAUUGGCUGUGCGGUAUCACAGUGCUUGAGUUCAAGUCACCCUUAUUUUACUUAGUAAUGGCCUCAAAGCACAAGAGUAGUGAUGCUGGCAAUUUGGAUAUACCAUAGAGAAGCUGUGGAGUGCUUUCUUUAAGUGAAAAGAUGAAAGUUCUCCAAAUAAUAAGGAAAGAAAAAAAAACUUAUCCUGGUAUUUCUAAGAUCUGCAGUAAGAACUAAUCUUCUAUCCGUGAAAUUGUGAAAAAAGAAAAGGAAAAAGGAAUUCGUGCUAGUUUUGCUGUCACACCUCAGACUUGCAAAAGUUAUGGCCACAGUGCAUGACUAUCCAUUCCAGUCUUGAGGCCAUUCUGAGGAAUAAAUGGAGUUGGAGCUACGAUGGGCAUCAUUUGAAGGGUCCUCAGAGACCAUCUUCUCUUGACCACAACAAGGAAAACACCGCAAGGACCACCAGAAAUACACAGUGACGCACAGUUCCCUCCCUGAAGUGUAGUGCCAAGCGUGUAGACAGCUGGAAAUACUGAGACUUGGUAAGGCCGACUAUCUCAGAUUUGCUGUGCUCAUUGUGGACUGCAUGUGAAUCACAGCUUCUGUAUAAGAAGGUUAUAGCUAUUAAGUGUUGAUGUGAAACUUGAAAGCAGCUCUGCUGGAUUCCUAUCAGAAUCCUGCAGAAAGUCAGCCACCUGGGUUCUAAUCUGCUGUAAAAGAUGAAGAUUUAGUUGACCUUAAUAAACCUGUCCUGUGUCCCAUCCACGAGGAAUGCUCGUAGUGGGCUGUGGCUGUUUCAGACUUCCUGGAACACGCUGCUCUCAAAAGAGCUGAUGUGUUCAGAUAAUCUGUGUAGGGCUAUGAUUUAUCAUUUAAACUUUCAGUUGUAUUCUGAGGUAACCACAAAUUAAAUUCAACCAAACUCGGGUCCACCAAGUGGGAAAAGGGGUGGAGGAGGGAAUAAUCUUGUUUCUUUUAGUAAUUUUUUAUUUGGGUUGUGGUUUUUUUCUGUGUUCCAUAUUAAGGCCUUUUUUUUUUUUUGCUUUGACUUGGAAUAACUUCUCAGAGCAUAUUGCUUGGUUAAGUAACUUGAAAUAGACAUUAGAAUUGCAAAGUGUCUCAUGAAUUUGCCAAUCCCUAGAUCCUAGAGUGGAACCAAAUAGCCUUAAUGUAAAGGGCAGUGAAUGCAUGGGGCUCUACUUAGGAACUGCUAAAGCCUCCUCUAAAUCAGGUCUAAAUUGUGUAGAAAACUGCGGUGGAAAGAGCAUGGUUUCUGUUCAGGCCAAGGGCUUCACUGACCUGUCCUUACAAAGUCAAAGCAAUGUGAGCAGAACCUCAACUAAAACCCACUUACCCUCAACUAAAACCCACUUGCAUGAUCUUUGACAAGAAUUCCAGAUACACUUGUGCCCAAAUGUUUAAGGUAUUAGACAUUCUGUAGACGCAGUGAUUGACUAGCGUAGCUCUCUAACCAACCCUCUGGUGUGUCUUUAUGUUGUUCAUUUGGAGAGUCAGGGGCAAAAGAAACAGAUGUAGCACUUCUGUUUUUAAUAAUUACGCCUUAAACUAUCCAGUAAUUUUUAGUCCUGAAAAGGCACAUGAGGAAGCUAUCCAGAAUUACUGAAAAGUCUUUCCAUUAUAAUGAGAGAGUCUGGUAAUUUCCUAGUUUUGUAUCUUUGGUUCAACAAAAAUAUUUCAAAGUGGCAUGGGACCACUUCAUGCAGAGUCUGGGUUUCUCUGUAAUAAAUUCUUUUGCCAAAUGUAGGAGUUGCAGGCUUGCUCCUGGCAAGAGUGAAGCAAACGGGUGAGUCGAACUAUCCUGAUGUGGGAACAUUUUCCUCUAGGAGUUCAGUCUUGAUAAAAGUGUCAGUGCAGGAAUCACACUCCUUGGGAGGGUUACAGUAUCACCUGACAGGACCUGCCAACCAUAUCUGGGCAACAGUGUUGGCAUUAUUUGAAGUGGCAGGCAGGAUGCCUACAUCCUGAUGUGUUUGUGUGAGUAGCUGAGCCAGCCAAGGAGAGGUCGGAUGAUUGAGAAACAAGGGAUUCUUGGUUAAACAGAAGACUUCAUUUGGGAACCAAAAAUCUUAAUAAAUAAUCUUUUGGACCUUGAGCCAUAUAUUUCCCCUGAAAAGUAUGCAUUUUUUUCUGCAAAAUUUUCUUGAGGGUUAUGUUAUUGAGGGAUGAACUGAGAUGAAUAUGUGGAACUGUUAUUUCAUGGCAUACUGUCCUAGAAAUCUGAAGACCUGCAGGAGAUUUAAAAAUUCCAACCCUUGUUAUAACUUUUUAAAAGAUUGAAAUUAUCAAAAUGCACAUGAGUCAAGUUUUAAUAUACUGUAUAAUGGGUGGAUGAGGCUGUCCAUUGUACCAUUUUUUUCUUUGAAUUCUCAGGCAUGGUUUGGCAGUGCAAGAACUCUGUAACAUUUACAAAUUCAAUAAAAAGUAAAUAUAUGGGAAAAAAAUACCAUCAUCUCUCUAACUCCUAGGUUUUUACAGGAAUUUCAUCAAUAAAGAUACUUUCAGCCAGGAAAGGGCAGCUCAUCUUGAUGAACAUGCAAUGGGGGAACGGUGGUUCCCAAAGGAAAACUUUCACCGGAAGAAGCUGGGAAAGAGACUGGACAGGCAAAAAGUUGCUCGUAGUUUAUUGGACAAAAAAAUGAAGAGAUUUUUCUCGUUAUUUCUUCUCUGUCAGAAGCAGUCAAAGAAGAAGGAUAGAUCUGAGGAAGUUUGGAAACUUUAGCUAUAUUUUUCAAAAACUCUGUUUAAGGAACAAAAUUAGGGUAAACUGCAAGCUCUUAGAGAUUCAGAUUUCUGCACAUAUUAUGAGAAAUAAAUCAGUUUUGAAAAUUAUCGAUGUAUUUCUAAAAUCAAUGAAUUUCAACAGCUUCUAUGGAUGCAUCAUGAUUUAAAAUAUCAGUUGAUGUCCUGCAAAACAACUUCAUAUACAAAUGUAUCAGUUGGGUCUGCUGGGAAGCAGAAACUGAGAUGAUGUUAAGAGUGCAGGAGGCUUAUUGAGAAGUAACAUCUGUGAAAGGAAAAAGAAGGAAGCUGGACUGGGCAGAGACGCCAUCAGACCACAAUACAGAUCUGCCAACAACUCAUCCAUUGCAAUGGGGGGCUCCAGAGCAAAGAUUGCCCAUUAGAGGAGUUCUGCCUUGGGUGGAAAUUGCCAGUCUUUUGUUCCACUAUCUUGCUGAGUCAUUGAUUGGGGCCACCUCCAGCAGAGUAAGACCUUGGCCUAAAAGCUGAAGGAGACUUGAAGGAGUUAACUGCUAGAUGCUGUCAGCUAACUGCACAGUCCUUAAAGAUGGACAAGGAGUCCUUUACUUUUUUUUUUUUUUUUUGGCCACACCAUGGGGCAUGUGAGAUCUUAGUUCCCUGACCAGAGGUUGAACCUGCACCCCCUGGAGUGGAAGCACGGAGCUUUAACCACUGGACCACCAGGGAAGUCCAAAGGAGUCCUUUCUUGAAGGGACAUCUGAGCUACACAACAUCUCCAUGUCUGCCACAACAAGUUAGCAUCAGUGUUACAUACAAAACAAAUUAUGUGCUGCAUCCUUACAAUUUUUUUUUUUUUGCGGUACGCGGGCCUCUCACUGUUGGGGCCCCUCCCGUUGCGGAGCACAGGCCCCGGACGCGCAGGCUCAGCGUCCAUGGCUCACGGGCCCAGCCGCUCCACGGCAUGUGGGAUCUUCCCGGACCGGGGCACGAACCCGUGUCCCCUGCAUCGGCAGGCGGACUCUCAACCACUGCGCCACCAGGGAAGCCCCAAUUUUUUAUUUUUAAAAAAUGAUAUGGAUGUAAAACCUAUAAACAACAUCAGUUUUUAGGAAAUGCCAACUGACCAGUUGACCUGAUUUAUUCUAACAUUUGCUUUAUACACAUUCUUGGAAGAAAACAGGGCUUUUGUAGGUCGUGUGUGUUUAAUAAAAUCUAGGGUAACUCCACUAGUAUGGCAGAUCAUUAAGCUCUCAAUGGGGUAACAACCCUGAUAUACAAAGAAUUGACAGCAGAUUUAUUUGUGCAAUAAAUUUAUCUGUUGUAAUUAAACUACAUGCUUUACAAAAUGAACAUGGAAUAAGACAAUAGUAUUUAAAAAAUCACUUGUCUUAUAUAGUUCAUAAGGCACUACCACCUCAAGGCAUGAGGUAUGACUUCAGAGAAACUCAAAACAUUGAUUCAUAGUCCUUAUAGAUAUUAAUAUAAUAGGAAUAGUCACUAUUAGGUAACUAACUAAAAUUUUCUCCUUUGUCUUAUUAUUACUAUACCACUCCUAAUGAGCACCCCUAAAGACAUUAAGGACAUUAAAUAAUUAGCCCUCUAGUUUGUCAAUAUUUAUCAAAAUUGCAAAAUACUUUCCCAUUGGCCCAGCAGUCCUUCUUCAGGGAAUUUAUCCUCAGAUAUACUUGAAUACAAGCAAAAUAAUUUUACUUAUUCCAUCACUGUUUAUAAUCAAAGGUUAGGGGAAAAAACCCAGAUGUCCCUCAGAAGAAAAUUAAUAAAAUAAAUUAUUGUAUAUCCAUUUAAUAGAAUUAUAUACUAUAAAAACAUGAGAGUGUUCUCAUGUAUGGAUUUGGAGAAAUUUUUAAGAUAAAUCAUUAAGUGUAGAAAAAAGGUGCAAAAAAGUGUUUGCUACAAUUUGUUAAUAAAAUGGGAAUAUAAGAGUGUAUACUUUUAGACAUAAUGAAUGAGUUUAGCAAUGUUGCAAGAUAUAAGAUAAAUUUUAAAAAAUCAGUUGUAUUUCUAUAUACUACCAAUAAACAAUCUGACAAUAAUAUAAGAAAACAACCAUUUACAAUAGGAUCACAGAGAAUAAAAUAUUUAGGAAUACAUUUAAUAAAAGAAGUACAAAACUUGUACUGCGAAAACUGCAAAACAUUACUAAAAGAAAUUUAAAAUUGUACAGAUGGAAAGCCCAUGUUCAUGAAUCAGGAGAGUCAAUAUAUUUUUUAAAUUAAUUAUAUAUUUAUUUAGGCUGCGCCGGGUCUUAGUUGCGGCACACAGGAUCUUCGUUGCAGCAUCAGGUCUUAGUUGAGGCAUGCAUGUGGAAUCUAGUUCCCCGAGCAGGGAUCGAAUCCGGGCCCCCUCCAUUGGGAGCAUGGAGUCUUACCCACUGGACCACCAGGGAAGUCCCUCAAUAGUAAGAUGGCAAUACUUGCCAAAUUUAUCUAUAGAUUCAACGCAAUCUCUAUCAAUAUCCAAGCUCUCUUUUUUGCAGAAAUUGACAAGCUGAUCAUAAAAUUCAUAUAGAAUUACAAGGAACCCAGAAUAGCCAAAGCAAUCUUGAAAAAGAACAAAGUUGAAGGACUCACACUUCCUUAUUUCAAAACUUACUACAAAGUACAGUAAUCAAGACACGGUAGCACUGGCAUAAGCUUAGAUAAAUAGAUUGAUGGAGUAGAAUUCAGAGUCCAAAAAUGAACCCUGACAUUUAUGUCAAUUAAUUUUCAGUAAUGCCAUCAAGACAGUUCAAUGGGAAAAGAAUAGUCUUUUCAGCGAAUGGUGGUGGGGAAACCAGAUACCCAUCUGCAAAAGAAUGAAACUGGACCCCUUCUUCACACCAUACACAAAAAUUUACUCAAAAUGGAUCAUAAACCUAAAUCUAAGAGCUGAAGCUAUAAGACUCAGGAGAAAUUAUAGGGAUAAAUCUUCACGACCUUGGGUUAGGCAAAGCCCUUUUAGCUAUUUCACCAAAAAUCACAAGCAGCAACAACAAAAAUAGAUAAAUUAGUCUUAAUCAAAUUAAAAACUUUUGUUCUUCAAAGGACACAUCAAUAAAGUAAAAAGACAAACCAUAGAACGGGAGAAAAUAUUUGCAAAUCAUGUAUCUGAUAAGAGACUUGUAUCCAGAAUAUAUAGAGAACACAACUCAAUAAAAAAAAGACAAAUAAUCCAAUUAAAGAAUAAGCAGAGGCUCUGAAUAGACAUCUCUCCAAAGAAGGUAUACAAAAGGUGAAUAAGUACAUGAAAAGAUACUCAACAUCAUUAGCCAUCAGGGAAAUGGAAAUCAAAAGAAAAAUGACAUACCACUUCAUAUCUACUAGGAUGCUUAUAGUAAAAAAGAUAUACAAUAACAAGGUGCUGGUAAGGAUAUGGAGAAAUUGUAAUCUUCAUACAUUACUGGUUGAAAUGUAAAAUGAUGUAACCACUUUGAAAAACAGUCUGGCAGUUCUUCAAAAGAUUAAACAUAGGGGUACCAUAUGCCCCAGCAAUUCUAUUCCUAGAUACAAACUCAGGAGAAAUGAAAACAUAUGUUUGUACAAAAACUUGUACACGAAUGUUUGUAAUAACAUUACAACCAAAAAGUAUAGUAUAACCAAAAAGUAUAGCCAAAAAGUGGAAAUAACCCAAAUGUACAUCAACUGAUGAAUGGAUAAAUAAAAUGUGGUAUAGCCAUACCAUGGAAUGUUAUUCAAUACUAAAAAGAAAUGAAAUACUGAUAUAUGCUGUAACAUGAAGGAACCUUGAUAUUAUGCUAAGUAAAAGAAGCCAAUCACAAAAGACCACACUUUGUAUGAUUACAUUUAUUUGAACUCUAUGGAAUGGGCAAAUCUAUGGAGGCUGAAAGUAGAUUAUUGGUUGCCUGGAGCUGUGGGAGUUUGGAGAGAAAUGGGGAAUGACCGCUAGUGGAUAUGAAGUUUCUCUUGAGGUGAUAAAAAUAUUCCAGAAUUGAUUGUGGUAAUGACUGAAUAAAUUUGUGUAUAUAUAAAAAAAGCAUCGAUUUGAAUGCUUUCAAUUGUGAAUUGUAUAGUAUGUGAAUUAUAUCUCAAUAAAGCUGUUUUUAAAAAUAACUUAUGUUUGUACAAGUUAGUACUAUUACGAAGAGUGAAAAUAACUUUAUAUUGGAGAAACUUGGUUGACUCUCCCUUAACCAAGUAAUCAAAAUUAGCAUCACUACUGACGGGAUAAACUGUCAUCAUGUCCCCUGUGAUGUGGUGCACUCAGGAUACCAUACAUUUGCUAUUCGUAUCCAAAAUACAAAAACCUGAAUCUUAUCAUUGGAGAAUUUCAAACAAACCCAAAUUGAGGGACAUUAUAAGAAAAAAUGGCCUGUCAUCUUAAGAAAUGGCAAUACCAUGAAAGACGAAGAAAGUCUGAGGCACUGUUCCAGAUUAGAGGAAACUAAAGAGACACAAAAACUAAAUGCAGUAUAUGAUCCUGCACUGGAUCCUAGACCAGAAAAAGCAAUCUCUGUAAAGAACAUUGUAGGGACAAUUAGUGAAAUUUCAAUAAGGUCUGUAGAUCGGAUGAUAGUAUUGUAUCCAUGUUAGCUUUCUGAAUUUAAUAACUGUAUUCCAGUUAGGUAAAUAUAAGUCCUUGUUUUUAGGAAAUGCACACUGACUCACUGAAAUGCUUGGGGUAGAGAGGGAUGAUGUGUGCAAAUUGGUCUCAAAUGAUUCUGAAGAAAUAUUAGACACACACAUUUAUGUAUGUGUGUAUAUAUGUAUGUGCGUAUGUAUGUAUGUAUGCAUGAAGAGACAAGGACAGAGAUAGAGACAGAGACAGAGGAAAUGAUAUAGCAAAUGGGGUAAAAUAUUAAAAAUUGGUAAGUCUGCAUGAAAGUUAUAUGGGAAACUUUGUCCUGUUUUUUUUUUUAAAAUAAAUUUAUUUAUUUAUUUUUGGCUGUGUUGGGUCUUCGUUGCUGUGCGCGGGCUUUCUCUAGUUGCGGCAAGUGGGGGCUGCUGUUCGGUGUGGUGCACGGGCUUCUCCUUGCGGUGGCUUCUCUUAUUGUGGAGCACGGGCUCUAGGCGUGUGGGCUUCAGUAGUUGUGGAGCGCGGGCUCAGUAGUUGUGGUGCACGGGUUUAGUUGCUCCGUGUCAUGUGGGAUAUUCCCGGACCAGGGCUCGAACCCAUGUCCCCUGCAUUGGCAGGUGGAUUUCUAACCACUGUGCCACCAGGGAAAUCCCUCUGUCCUGUUUUUGAAACUUUUCUGUUAAAAUAUUAUAUUUGUGUUUGCAGCAACAAACUCUGAAGGAAUAUAUAAGAAACUAACAAAAAAUGGUUACCUGCUAGGGAAUUGGAGGGAAGCACUAUAGCUGAUGGGCAGGGUGAAAAAGACACUUCAUGAAUCACGUGGAUGUAUUACUUACUUGAAUUUUUAAAUGCCAAGUUAUUUUUUAAAAUUAACCUUUGAAUAUCUUUGAAUUACAUACCAUGGUUACUCAUAUUCAGAUAUUGAACUCCUUAUACAGUGGGUGCUUACCUGAUGAGGUUACUUUCUCUGGACUCACAUUAUGCAAGUUGUUUUAAUAGAUAUUAAGUAACUUGCUUAAGGCAAUAAAGGACUUGAGUUGGUUGACCUGAGUGCAAACCAAAAUGUAGCCCUUAUUCUCACUCUUCAGUUGCCUUUCCAACCCUUAGUAUCUGAGACUGAGAAUCUUUGGAGAUGUUAGCCUUUUGCUGCUGCGGAGAGGAGGAGAAAAGAGAAACUGGCAGUCAGUACAGAUGCUUCAUGUGAUUUGUCCUUAAACUACUGCCUACUUGUGUCUACUUCUAGCCUCUUCCAACUCUGAUCUAUAAUUAAGAGAAGGUAGAUUUUAUUUCUUAAGUACAUUACUGAGAUUGUAACAGUCAAUUCAGAAUUGGCUAUGAAGCCACUGUGCUCUCUCUCUAUUGGCCCGUUGUAGCCAUCACCCCCCCUCCUCUGUGUGUAGUGUGUGUUUGUAACAUAUUAUGCAUACAACAAAGAGUGUAUGUGUUUAAAUUUUAAAAUAAUAAGAUGAACAGUUGUGUACCUACUACUCAGGUUAGUAAUAGACCAUUACCAGUAUCUCAUUAGAACCUUGUAUAAAACCUCCCCAGUUGCGAACACUUUCUACACUAUUUUUUUCCUACAAUUUACAAUAUAUAUUAAAGAUCUCUCCAUAUGCAUACAACCUUCACAACCACCAUUAUGAAUUCAGUAUUAUUUUAAUGUUUUGUUAUAAUUUGACUGCUUAUGUAUGUAUCCGUAAAAAUAUUAGUUUUCUAAUGUUGCAUAACCCAUUACCCCAAAACUUAGUGGCUUAAAACAACACACAUUUAUUAUCUCAUAGUUUCUGAGAGUUAAAGAUUUUGAAAUGGAUCAUCUGAGUACUUCUGGCUCAGAAUCCCUAAAAAAGUUGCAGUCAAAAUAUUAACCAGAUUUCAAUUAUCUGAAGCCUUUACUGGAGCUGAGGGAUCUAUUUCCAAGACUGUCAGUGAGGGCUUCCCCUAGAGGGUUGCUUGGGUGUCCUCAGAAAAUGGCAGUGAUUUCUCCCAGAAUGAGAGAUGAGAGAGAGAGACAGUAAAGUGACCAUGUCUUUUAAGACUUAGGCUCAGAAGCCACAUACAUAACUUCUGCAAAAUCCUAUUUUUGCAGGUGAGUAUUGCCUAGGAUUGUCUAUUCAACAUGGGAGUGUUAUCUAUACUGGGGAAGGAAUACCAGGAAGUAAGGCUCAUAGGGCCAUCUUAGAGGUUGAGUAUCACAAUAAAUAACAUACAACUCAGUUCUACUUUUUUUUUUUUUUGCACCUUAUACAGUGAAUCAUAUAGUGUGUAGUUUCCUGUGUGUCUUGCUUAGUGGUUUUUUUGUUUGUUUUCUCUUUUUUCCUUUGGAGGUUCACAGGCACAUUUAUAUAUUAUCAGUGUUAUUUUUAAAGGGUUUACCUAUGUUGAUGUGUGUCUUAGGUCUUUUGGGCUGUUAUAACAAAAUACCAUAGACUGAGUACCUUAUAAACAAUAGAAAUUUAUUUUUCACAGUUUUUGAGGCUGGGAAGUCCAAGAUCAAGACACCUUCAGAUUCAGUGUCUGGUGAAAGCCUACUUCCUGGUUCAUAGAUAACAGUCUUCUCUCUUGUCCUUACAUGGUGGAAGGGGAGAGGCUCUCUCUGCAGUCUCUUUUAUGUUGGUACUAACCUCAUUCAUGAGGGCGCCACCUGCAUGUCCUUACCACUUCCCCAAACCCAAUCUCCACAUACCUUCACAUUGGAGAUUGGGAUUCAACAUAUGAAUUUUGGAGGGAAUGUAAACAUAAACUGUGAUUCAUCCAUUUUUGCUGCUCUAUAGUAUUCCACAAUUUAUUUACGCAUUCUACUAUUUAUGCUAUAACAAACAAUGCAGUGAGGAAUUUUCCUUGGGAUAUAUAUGCUAUGGGAAUAAAUCUAUGCCAGUUUGUAUAGGACAUGCCCAUAUUCAUAUUUCAAGAAAAGAAAUAGUUAUCUAAAGUGGUUUUAAUCAUUUACAUUCCCAUGGCAGUGGAUGAGAAUUUUAAUAGCUUUACAUCCUUGCCAAAGCUUAGCAUUGUUCAACUUCUAAGUUUUUGCUAAUUCAAUGGGCAAGAAAUAAUAUCUCAUUGUGAUUUUAACUUGCUUUUCCCUGAUUACUAGUGAGGUGAACAUCUAACCAUCAUUAUCUCCUUUAAAGUAAACCACCUGGGGACUUCCUUGGUGGCACAGUGGUUAAGAAUCCACCUGCCAAUGCAGGGGACAUGGGUUCGUAGCCCUGGUCCAGGAAGAUCCCAUCCCACAUGCCGUGGAGCAACUAAGCCCGAGCACCACAACUACUGAGCCUGCGCUCUAGAGCCUGUGAGACACAACUACUGAGCCUGCAUGCCGCAACUACUGAAGCCCGUGUGCCUAGAGCCUGUGCUCCUCAACAAGAGAAGCCACCGCAAUGAGAAGCCCGUGCACAGGAACAAAGAGUAGCCCCCACUCGCCGCAACUAGAGAAAGCCUGUGUGCAGCAACGAAGACCCAAUGCAGCCAAAAAUCAAUCAAUCAAUCAAUUAAUUAAUUAAUUAAAAAUAAAGUAAACCACUUGUCCUGGAUACUAAUUCUUUUUCGGUUGAGUUGCAACUACUUUCUCCUACUUAAUGGCUUGUGCUUUCACUUUUUGUAUGCCUUAUUUUGAUUUACAGAGGUUCUUAGUUUUAAUAAAAUCAAAUUUAUCAAUCUUUCCCUUUAUGGUUUGUGUUUUUUUGUGUAUUAUUUGAGAAAUAUUUUCCUACUUUGAGCUCAUAAAGAUAUUCUCUUUUUUUCUUCUCUUUUUUUUUUUUUUUUUUUGCGGUACGCGGGCCUCUCACUGCUGUGGCCUCUCCCUUUGCGGAGCACAGGCUCCGGACGCGCAGGCUCAGCGGCCAUGGCUCACAGGCCCAGCCACUCCGCGGCAUGUGGGAUCUUCCCGGACUGGGGCACGAACCCGUGUCCCCUGCAUUGGCAGGCAGACUCUCAACCACUGCGCCACCAGGG
Molecule: long non-coding RNA, 12418 nt
Organism: Orcinus orca (killer whale)
Lineage: Eukaryota; Metazoa; Chordata; Mammalia; Artiodactyla; Delphinidae
Exons: 3
Source: RefSeq, a predicted model, not a curated record